RNAcentral lists this ribosomal RNA (253 nucleotides) under uncultured bacterium. Its description in RNAcentral is "partial 16S ribosomal RNA". It matches the Rfam family "Bacterial small subunit ribosomal RNA", at positions 524 to 776 of the family's 1533-position model. The record is from RNAcentral.
UACGGAGGGUGCAAGCGUUGUUCGGAUUUACUGGGCGUAAAGGGCGUGUAGGCGGCUAAGCAAGUCAGGUGUGAAAUCCCUUGGCUCAACCAAGGAAGUGCAUUUGAAACUGCAUAGCUAGAGUACAGGAGGGGAAAGUGGAAUUCCCAGUGUAGAGGUGAAAUUCAUAGAUAUUGGGAGGAACACCAGUAGCGAAGGCGGCUUUCUGGCCUGAUACUGACGCUGAGACGCGAAAGCCAGGGGAGCGAACGGG